RNAcentral lists this ribosomal RNA (605 nucleotides) under uncultured bacterium. RNAcentral's name for it is "bacterial SSU rRNA". It matches the Rfam family "Bacterial small subunit ribosomal RNA", at positions 332 to 929 of the family's 1533-position model. The record is from RNAcentral.
CAGACUCCUAGGGAGGCAGCAGUGGGGAAUAUUGCACAAUGGGCGCAAGCCUGAUGCAGCGACGCCGCGUGAGGGAUGGAGGCCUUCGGGUUGUGAACCUCUUUCGCCAGUGAAGCAGGCCUGCUCCUGUGUGGGUGGGUUGACGGUAGCUGGAUAAGAAGCGCCGGCUAACUACGUGCCAGCAGCCGCGGUAAUACGUAGGGCGCGAGCGUUGUCCGGAAUUAUUGGGCGUAAAGAGCUCGUAGGCGGCUGGUCGCGUCUGUCGUGAAAUCCUCUGGCUUAACUGGGGGCUUGCGGUGGGUACGGGCCGGCUUGAGUGCGGUAGGGGAGGCUGGAACUCCUGGUGUAGCGGUGGAAUGCGCAGAUAUCAGGAAGAACACCGGUGGCGAAGGCGGGUCUCUGGGCCGUUACUGACGCUGAGGAGCGAAAGCGUGGGGAGCGAACAGGAUUAGAUACCCUGGUAGUCCACGCCGUAAACGUUGGGCACUAGGUGUGGGGGGGCCUUUUCCGGGUUUUCCGCGCCGUAGCUAACGCAUUAAGUGCCCCGCCUGGGGAGUACGGCCGCAAGGCUAAAACUCAAAGGAAUUGACGGGGGCCCGCACAAG